This 1540-nucleotide ribosomal RNA is filed under the name Klebsiella variicola. Its description in RNAcentral is "bacterial SSU rRNA". It matches the Rfam family "Bacterial small subunit ribosomal RNA". Lineage: Bacteria; Pseudomonadati; Pseudomonadota; Gammaproteobacteria; Enterobacterales; Enterobacteriaceae. RNAcentral also lists the same sequence under 1 other name. The record is from RNAcentral.
AAAUUGAAGAGUUUGAUCAUGGCUCAGAUUGAACGCUGGCGGCAGGCCUAACACAUGCAAGUCGAGCGGUAGCACAGAGAGCUUGCUCUCGGGUGACGAGCGGCGGACGGGUGAGUAAUGUCUGGGAAACUGCCUGAUGGAGGGGGAUAACUACUGGAAACGGUAGCUAAUACCGCAUAACGUCGCAAGACCAAAGUGGGGGACCUUCGGGCCUCAUGCCAUCAGAUGUGCCCAGAUGGGAUUAGCUGGUAGGUGGGGUAACGGCUCACCUAGGCGACGAUCCCUAGCUGGUCUGAGAGGAUGACCAGCCACACUGGAACUGAGACACGGUCCAGACUCCUACGGGAGGCAGCAGUGGGGAAUAUUGCACAAUGGGCGCAAGCCUGAUGCAGCCAUGCCGCGUGUGUGAAGAAGGCCUUCGGGUUGUAAAGCACUUUCAGCGGGGAGGAAGGCGAUAAGGUUAAUAACCUUGUCGAUUGACGUUACCCGCAGAAGAAGCACCGGCUAACUCCGUGCCAGCAGCCGCGGUAAUACGGAGGGUGCAAGCGUUAAUCGGAAUUACUGGGCGUAAAGCGCACGCAGGCGGUCUGUCAAGUCGGAUGUGAAAUCCCCGGGCUCAACCUGGGAACUGCAUUCGAAACUGGCAGGCUAGAGUCUUGUAGAGGGGGGUAGAAUUCCAGGUGUAGCGGUGAAAUGCGUAGAGAUCUGGAGGAAUACCGGUGGCGAAGGCGGCCCCCUGGACAAAGACUGACGCUCAGGUGCGAAAGCGUGGGGAGCAAACAGGAUUAGAUACCCUGGUAGUCCACGCUGUAAACGAUGUCGAUUUGGAGGUUGUGCCCUUGAGGCGUGGCUUCCGGAGCUAACGCGUUAAAUCGACCGCCUGGGGAGUACGGCCGCAAGGUUAAAACUCAAAUGAAUUGACGGGGGCCCGCACAAGCGGUGGAGCAUGUGGUUUAAUUCGAUGCAACGCGAAGAACCUUACCUGGUCUUGACAUCCACAGAACUUAGCAGAGAUGCUUUGGUGCCUUCGGGAACUGUGAGACAGGUGCUGCAUGGCUGUCGUCAGCUCGUGUUGUGAAAUGUUGGGUUAAGUCCCGCAACGAGCGCAACCCUUAUCCUUUGUUGCCAGCGGUUAGGCCGGGAACUCAAAGGAGACUGCCAGUGAUAAACUGGAGGAAGGUGGGGAUGACGUCAAGUCAUCAUGGCCCUUACGACCAGGGCUACACACGUGCUACAAUGGCAUAUACAAAGAGAAGCGACCUCGCGAGAGCAAGCGGACCUCAUAAAGUAUGUCGUAGUCCGGAUUGGAGUCUGCAACUCGACUCCAUGAAGUCGGAAUCGCUAGUAAUCGUAGAUCAGAAUGCUACGGUGAAUACGUUCCCGGGCCUUGUACACACCGCCCGUCACACCAUGGGAGUGGGUUGCAAAAGAAGUAGGUAGCUUAACCUUCGGGAGGGCGCUUACCACUUUGUGAUUCAUGACUGGGGUGAAGUCGUAACAAGGUAACCGUAGGGGAACCUGCGGUUGGAUCACCUCCUUA